RNAcentral lists this ribosomal RNA (494 nucleotides) under uncultured bacterium. Its description in RNAcentral is "partial 16S ribosomal RNA". It matches the Rfam family "Bacterial small subunit ribosomal RNA", at positions 30 to 507 of the family's 1533-position model. The record is from RNAcentral.
AUUGAACGCUGGCGGCAUGCUUUACACAUGCAAGUCGAACGGCAGCGGGGAGGAGCUUGCUUCUCUGCCGGCGAGUGGCGAACGGGUGAGUAAUACAUCGGAACGUGUCGAGAAGAGGGGGAUAACCACCCGAAAGGGUGGCUAAUACCGCAUAAAUUCUGAGGAAGAAAGCUGGGGACCUAGGAAUAGGCCUAGCGCUUUUUGAGCGGCCGAUGUCGGAUUAGCUAGUUGGUUAGGUAAAGGCUCACCAAGGCGAAGAUCUGUAGCGGGUCUGAGAGGAUGAGCCGCCACACUGGGACUGAGACACGGCCCAGACUCCUACGGGAGGCAGCAGUGGGGAAUUUUGGACAAUGGGGGCAACCCUGAUCCAGCCAUGCCGCGUGUAUGAAGAAGGCCUUAGGGUUGUAAAGUACUUUUGUUAGGGAAGAAAAGUCAGCUGUGAAUAAUGGCUGAUACUGACGGUACCUAAAGAAUAAGCACCGGCUAACUACGUG